Molecule: transfer RNA, 72 nt
Filed under: Minisyncoccota bacterium
Lineage: Bacteria; Bacillati; Minisyncoccota
Also listed under: 2 other names
Description: tRNA-Cys
Rfam family: tRNA
About the family: Transfer RNA (tRNA) molecules are approximately 80 nucleotides in length. Their secondary structure includes four short double-helical elements and three loops (D, anti-codon, and T loops).
Source: RNAcentral
GACCCGAUGGCCAAGUGGUAAGGCGGUUCUCUGCAAAAGAACUAUUCGCGAGUUCGAUUCUCGCUCGGGUCU